Molecule: long non-coding RNA, 1307 nt
Filed under: Callithrix jacchus (white-tufted-ear marmoset)
Lineage: Eukaryota; Metazoa; Chordata; Mammalia; Primates; Cebidae
Description: lncRNA (ENSCJAG00000074843.1)
Source: RNAcentral
CAAAAGGAAUUUUGAGGAAAUUCUGCAGAGUACAUUUUGUAAUACAUUAAGCAAUUAGAGUUCACAUUAAUCUUUAGUGCCUCUUUUGUAAAAGGAUAAAAUAAAGGGAAAAGUAAAUGUUACUUUCAAAAGUCUAAAAUAAUAGGCUGGGUGUGAUGGCUCACGCCUGUAACCCCAGCACUUUGGGAGGCUGAGGUGGGCGGAUCACCUGAGGUGAGGAGCUGGACACCAGCUUGAACAACAUGGCGAAACCCCAUCUCUACUGAAAAUACAAAAAUUAACCUGGCACAGUGGUGCGUGCCUUUAUCCCAGCUAUUUGGGAGGCUGAGGGAGGCGAGUCGCGGGAACCUGGGAGGCCAAGGUGGCAGUGAGCCAAGAUCGCACCACUGCACUCCAGCCUAGGCUACAGAGGUAGGCUGCUUCUCAAACAAUAUGGCGGGGAGGGGAGGGAGGGGAGGGGAGGGGAGGGGAGGGACUCUGUCUCACUGGAACCCUUGUACUCGCCCUUGACAUAUCCAUGGGAAGGGGCUUUAGACCACUCUCACCUUUGCCUUCAUCACUCACUCAGUGUGCUGUGUUCUUAAAGUUAGGUAUAAAAAAUUACCACUGAUAGGUUUGGGAGGAGGUACUGAGCCUACUGUCUCUUCUCUCCAAAUGUCCGUUUCAGAGAAAGCGCCUUCUGUGUUAUUCUCUCUUUGCCUGCAGAACACUACUGAAGACUGCAGUUGCUCAGUGCUGACUGAGACUGGGUGGGGGAAAUUGCUUAAAAUACAUUGUUUUAACCGAAGAUCAAAGUACAGAUAGGAGGAGAGACGGCCGAAUUUGCCUUCUAAGCACUUUGGAAAUUUGGGAGGCAGAGUUAAGAGAAGAAAUAUAUGGGAGUAACAGGUAGCUAAUUAAUUUAGGUCAUCAUAAAAUAAACUCAGAAUCUCUGAACUAGCUGAAAUUGGAUUCAACGUGAAAACCAAGGAAGAACCAAGCAAGUUUAUGGGAGCAGGUUCGGCCUACAGACAAGAACAGGGGAGACAGAUGGCACAGGUUACAGAGUCUGACCUGGAGAACUCCAAAGAGUGGGGACAUCUUUUGUGGCCAUUCCUCCUCAAAAUAAUUUGGGCUUCUGGCCAGUAAGGGAAAGAACUGGAAAGCACAUGAAAUACCCAUGUUUAUAAGAAAUUCUGUCUAAUAAAUCAAAAAAAUGUAAUGGAUUCUGAGUGGUGUCUGAGUGUCACCCAGGAACGGAGGGAGGUUCAAAAAAUACGCAUGUUAAUGAAAUACCUCCCUGGUCCAAUCUGAGCAGUUGCCCAUCU